Molecule: long non-coding RNA, 581 nt
Organism: Bubalus bubalis (water buffalo)
Lineage: Eukaryota; Metazoa; Chordata; Mammalia; Artiodactyla; Bovidae
Exons: 2
Source: RefSeq, a predicted model, not a curated record
AGAGUCUUCCUUGCUCUUCCUUGAACAUCAACCACUGCCCCCGCCUCUGUCCGGCCCCACUAAUGCCCUCUUAGUCGCCAAGGAGCAUGCAGAGAAUUAAGAUAAAUCCGGCACGUGCAGAUGUUGGUGACGAGCUGAUUGUUACACGCCAUCAGGGAGGAGUCAGUGUCCUUUUCUGGUUCUAGUCCUGGUGCCCCAAGAACAGAGCUGGACACGAGAUGCCAGCCUCUCCAAUGGGAUUCCGUGUUUCCUGCUGUGCUAACCUGCAUGCGCGGGUGAUACUUCAGGCUCCAGAGGCACACUGUGGGGGAAGAGAUGCUCCCUGCCUGGGAGGAGCUCCAAGUGUGAGAGACUGAGACCAGUGGGAAGGAGGAGGGAAGAGCGGCCGCUGCAGAUCCCACCCUGGAAACUCCGAGGGCCACAUCCUGCCUAGACAUCCCUCUGACACAAUCCUUCAGCUUCACCCGAAUACACACUCAGGUUGCUCCGAGGUCCCCUCUCUCACCCUCUCCUGCUGGAUCCGGAGGGAGCUGGGUCUCUAAUUCUGGGUGACCAAUAACAAUAAAAUGCAUGAAUGGCAA